RNAcentral lists this ribosomal RNA (253 nucleotides) under uncultured bacterium. RNAcentral describes it as "partial 16S ribosomal RNA". It matches the Rfam family "Bacterial small subunit ribosomal RNA", at positions 524 to 776 of the family's 1533-position model. The record is from RNAcentral.
UACGUAGGUGGCAAGCGUUGUCCGGAUUUACUGGGCGUAAAGGGCGUGCAGGCGGUCUGUUAAGUGCAGGGUGAAAGCUCCCGGCUCAACUGGGAGAGGUCCUUGCAUACUGGCGGACUUGAGGGGGAUAGAGGAAAGUGGAAUUCCCGGUGUAGUGGUGAUAUGCGUAGAUAUCGGGAGGAACACCUGUGGCGAAGGCGGCUUUCUGGGCCCUACCUGACGCUGAGACGCGAAAGCGUGGGGAGCGAACCGG